This is a long non-coding RNA of Cuculus canorus (common cuckoo), 3529 nucleotides long. RefSeq lists it as uncharacterized. Lineage: Eukaryota; Metazoa; Chordata; Aves; Cuculiformes; Cuculidae. The transcript is spliced from 4 exons. The record is from RefSeq and is a predicted model, not a curated record.
ACUUUAUUCUGUUUGCCUGUAACAAAUCACAUUGAGUCACGCUCAUUUGACUCUUAACUAAUCAAUAAUUCAUUUUUAGUUCAGCAGUUAGUAGUCUUCAUCUAGCACAGAAUACCAAUAGGCAAUGAGUUUCCACAAAAGGAAGGUGUUUUGGAAGAUCCACCCUGACCCCUCCUACCCUACUCUGCCUCUAUUCUGCCUGCAGAGCUGCUAACUGUUGUGGGAUUACCUCUCACAUUCGCCGAAGCACUACUAGUGCUGGUCAGAGUGGAAUAUUCACAAGUCACAAUCUCCUGGGAUGGAACUGGCUGUUUUGUUCUUAACACGGCAGUGCUUUGGAGUCGACACACUUUGGUGCCUCUGGGACAGGAGCAGCCAGCAAUAAACCACCCUGGAUAAUCUUUUCCCGUUUGCCAGCAGGUGGUUGUCCUCAGGGUAUCUGCAGUGAGGACAGGCCAUCUUCUGUAAGAUGGCACAGAGUCAUUGUGCUGGCAGCCUCCAGAUGUGUGCUUGGGUGCCUCUGGCUAACUGUUCUCCAGCAGUGUGCAGGGACCUCUUCGGGCACCAUAUCCUGAUUCCUGUCUGAUUUCUGCCACCUGGCCACGUCUGGUGAGGAGAUUGCUCCUGCUCUGAGGGCCUGCCUCAGUGGUGACCCCAUAAGAGACCUUCGUUCUCCAAGGUGGCCAGAUACGUGUCGAUGGGAUGCCAGGUGUGGUCCCUUGGAUGAAGGGCUACAGAGCCACCACCAGCGCCUCCUCUCACAGCCACUGCGCACUCUCUGCCCAGCCCAGCCUAACGUUCCAGACAUCUCUUUAGCCCCAGGAAGGGCAGAAACAUGAGUACAUGUACAGCAGAGGUGUUAAUCAGUGAAAGAAUUGAAGUACACAAUGCGGAUUUUGAGUCUUACCAAGAUGAUGCGAGAGGAGGUUGGGUCAGCGCUUGUUGGCACCAUGCCUGUGAAGGGGGCAAUAAUCCCACAUUUCCUGAAGAGAGUCAGGAAGAGUUUCUCCUGCCUCAGAGGCAGAAGGAGGCGUCAGAGUUUCUGCUGCAGCGUCUUCUACGGGAGAACUGGAGCUGAAGGUCUUCGGACAAACUCCUGAGUGACAGAGGCAAGUGAAACUGCCAGAGGGUGGUGCAUGGGCAUCUCUAAUGCUUGCAAAUACAGCCUAGAGUGCUGCCCGUGCCCGCUGCAUGUAUUCUAUUUAUAACACAGCUGAGAGAGCAUUGGCAAAGCAUCUCAGAGGAGCAACCUUUUGUUAUAUUUACAGCUGCUUCCUUCCCUGUUAGUGCAACCGACACAAAAAAUAAUCACAAUAAUAUGAAUUGUGUGGUUAAUUGAUUCACUGGCUUAUGAUCAUGCUGCGGCCAACUCAGCCAUAGCCUGGUUAUUGCAUCUUGUAUCCCUGUGAUUUCUUACAGAGCAGGAAACACCUGAAACACCUUAGUAUGUUUAGGAGCCACUCACCUGGCUGCUUCUUGCAACAGCUCACUCCAUUCUGGCCUUUUUUCCUUGUGUGCUAGGAGGCUGAUUCAAGACACUGAUUUUCCUCAUGCUGUUCUUCAGGCUCAGCGCUGAGGGACUAUAUUUGAAAUCAGAGAGUGAGCUGUGUGUUAAGAAAUAGCUCUGGCACUAAAAUAUUUAAAAUUACUCUUUGUUUCCCUGACUUCUCUCCUAAUUUAGAUUAUCCAAAUCCAGAUUCCCCACAGACUUGCCCACAAGAUGGAAUUCUAAGAAAAUAUUGCUUUGUUUUAUUUGGUUUUUAACAUCCACAUUUCUCACAUUUCCUGUUCCAGUUUCAAAGUGGGCCUGAGCCCCUCCACUAACAUCACUCCAGCUGUUAUUUUGGGGAUCUGAGAGAGGGGAGAAAAAAUAAACGAAGUGCAGGGAAUGCGUUUCUUGGAUUUCCCCCCUGUCAGCCACAGGUUCUUUUUGUCGAGACGGUAAAGAGUUACUGACAUUCCUCUCUUUUCAGGUCAAAUAGAGGGAUUAGAUGAAGGGUAUUGCUAACACGGGUCAAGGUAUUAAAAACCUGCUGCCUAAAUUUAGGUUCCUAAUUUUGCAUUUUGAGACCCUAAAUAAGGGCUUGAUCUUGUCCCCUUUGAAGUCAAUGCCAAAGUUUCCACUGAAUUCAAUCUGUGAGAUGAAGUCCUAAAUUAUGGUCAGGUUCUUAAAAGUUCUCAGCGUCUCAUGGCUCCAAAUAAGUCAUCACUCAGCCUCUUUGCAAAUCACACGUCUUCCCUUAAGUGCCUAAACAUGGAGCUCGUGCUUUUAGGUAUUCCAUAUUUAAAAUCCUGCCUGUUGAUGCCAUCUUUCUUUCUGUCUCAGGAGCCACUGACAUGGGAAGACAACAAGGCUAAUAAAGAAGCGUAGCCAGGACACACAUUGAUUUGCUUUUUUUCAGUGAGCAGUGCUUAGCAUGAACACUGUGGAUUCUAUAGAAAUGUCAGUAUUUAUUACGGUGUUACGUUAACAUGGAAGGCACAUGAAUGUCCUUGCUGGCGCCAGAAUUCAGGCAAGUACACGACCAUUUGCACAAACUUCACAUACACUGUAACAGGAUGUUGGCAGGUGGGAAGAUCACAGGAUCCAGAUGAAACAUAAGAUGAGAUGAGCAAGCCUGUAGUGGUAAUUUUAGAAGCUGGGUUCUGUACAUUAUUUACAGUACAUUGUAGCUUUAAGGUGAUAAGGCUCCCCCUUGCCAGUCGUGGAUUUAAUCUUUUCUGUGAGAUUUCUGUGUGGGACUUUCAGCAGAGCAGCAGCUGGAGGGAUUUUAUCUUUUCGGAAGAGUGUUAAAAUGACAGGUUAUUUGCAGCAAAGCCAUGUUCAUUCAUAAAAUGCUUACCUAGCAGGAGGGGGAAAGGCACCUAGGACCUUCUACCAAAGAAAGAGAAAAUAGUGAGCAAACUAUCUGCUUGCUGCAGAUCUGAAGUGCAAAAGCCUGGCAUUAGGAGGAAGCUGCUCACAGUGAACUUUGACAGUCGGAAAUGGUUCCUGCCUCCAGGAGCUUUAACUGGAGCUUUACCUUCAGUUAGCGACAUACCCUCUCCUUUUCCCAUGGAGAGGGCUGAAGUGCCCCUAUCUCUUGGAGAACAUUUUUGGCAAUUGCAUUCUUAAUAUGGGAAACUGUGGUUAUUUUGGAUGCAUAUUUGUUUCUUCAGAAAUCCUCUUCAAAAAAACAAACACAGGGAAAGCAAAGAAAAAGGGACUUUUGCAAUGUUUGAACAACACCCACCACUCCUGUGUAGAAAAGUAAUCCCUGAGAGGAAAAGGGAUUAUAUUCUCCUCCGGGCUUUCAACUAGACUGGAUUUCUCCCCUUGCCCAGAAGUGAGGCCAUGGGCACCAGGGGUGCUGGGUGUGAUCCCACAGCUGGGGCAGCGAAGGGCCUGGACAGGAGCUGGAGUCUCUCCUUGCUCAGACGGACCUGUCACUCAUCUCCCAGCCUUCCUCGGGAUCAAUGUGGCCCGGGUGACCCCCACAUGCUGCAGGAAGGGGUGACACAAAAUCCUUAAAAAAUAAACAAAAGGAAG